GCUACUUUCCCUUGCCCUAUGACUAAAUAACACAGUUCUUCUCUAGCUCUUUUGUAGGUCAUCUUAAGGAACUGGAAGGAGCUCCAAGGUCUCCCUGCAGCCUUCUCUUUCCCAGGCUGAACAGACCCAGCUCUCCCAGGCUGUUUUCACAGGAUGGAGCUCUAGCCCUUUGAUCAUCUCUCUGGCCUCCUCUGGGCUCACUGGGAAGAAUGCUGGAGUGGCCUGAAUCUGAUUCCUUUGAAGUCAAUGGCAGAAGUCCAGCACUGAAAAACAGCCCACUAGAGCAUAAUGUAGCUGUUCAGAAUAAACAAGUGGAAACAAUGGUUAGAGCCC
RNAcentral lists this long non-coding RNA (333 nucleotides) under Cyanistes caeruleus (blue tit). Its description in RNAcentral is "lncRNA (ENSCCEG00000022217.1)". The record is from RNAcentral. Lineage: Eukaryota; Metazoa; Chordata; Aves; Passeriformes; Paridae.